This 253-nucleotide ribosomal RNA is filed under the name uncultured bacterium. RNAcentral describes it as "partial 16S ribosomal RNA". It matches the Rfam family "Bacterial small subunit ribosomal RNA", at positions 524 to 776 of the family's 1533-position model. The record is from RNAcentral.
UACAGAGGUCCCAAGCGUUGUUCGGAUUCACUGGGCGUAAAGGGUGCGUAGGUGGUGAGGUAAGUCGGAUGUGAAAUCUCCGAGCUCAACUCGGAAACUGCAUUGGAAACUACCUUGCUCGAGGGUUGGAGGGGGGACUGGAAUACUUGGUGUAGCAGUGAAAUGCGUAGAUAUCGGGAGGAACACCAGUGGCGAAGGCGGCGAUCUGGGAAGAUACUGACGCUGAGGUGCGAAAGCGUGGGGAGCAAACAGG